Molecule: ribosomal RNA, 301 nt
Filed under: uncultured bacterium
Lineage: Bacteria
Description: partial 16S ribosomal RNA
Rfam family: Bacterial small subunit ribosomal RNA
Source: RNAcentral
CAGUCGCCGCGGUAAUACGAAGGGUGCAAGCGUUAAUCGGAAUUACUGGGCGUAAAGCGUGCGUAGGCGGUGAGUUAAGUCUGCUGUGAAAUCCCCGGGCUCAACCUGGGAAUGGCAGUGGAUACUGGCUCGCUAGAGUGUGUCAGAGGAUGGUGGAAUUCCCGGUGUAGCGGUGAAAUGCGUAGAGAUCGGGAGGAACAUCAGUGGCGAAGGCGGCCAUCUGGGACAACACUGACGCUGAGGCACGAAAGCGUGGGGAGCAAACAGGAUUAGAUACCCGAGUAGUCCCUGUCUCUUAUAC